RNAcentral lists this transfer RNA (74 nucleotides) under Stegodyphus dumicola. RNAcentral's name for it is "tRNA-Ile". It matches the Rfam family "tRNA". Rfam says of the family: Transfer RNA (tRNA) molecules are approximately 80 nucleotides in length. Lineage: Eukaryota; Metazoa; Arthropoda; Arachnida; Araneae; Eresidae. The record is from RNAcentral.
GCCUUCGUGGUGUAGUGGUUCAGCACGCUGGGCCGAUACUCCAGAAGUCCGUGGUUCGAUUCCCAGCGUAGGCG